CUAAUCUUCCAUUCAUUCUUGCCAGAGAAAUAGAAGUUUACAGUUCAUUCUUCAUCGUCUCUACUCUGAACCAUCCAAUUCAAGUAUGGCAAAAUUGGGAAAAAUAAUUGACAUGGGGGAACAGCUAUGCUAUUGCAAUAGCCUUGAUGAAAAGAUGCAAAAAC
Quercus lobata is the source of this 164-nucleotide long non-coding RNA. RefSeq lists it as uncharacterized. The transcript is spliced from 2 exons. NCBI's taxonomy places the organism in Eukaryota, Viridiplantae, Streptophyta, Magnoliopsida, Fagales, Fagaceae. The record is from RefSeq and is a predicted model, not a curated record.